ACGUGCUCGCCUCGCCGUCCAUUCUUCAACACCUGUGCACACUUCAAAGUAAUCGUUCUGUCCCAUCCCGCUUGUACGGGGGAGUUGUGAAAAAGGGAUCAUUAAUUUGGUUUCUCUUUUUAUAGCUUUCCAAAGAGAGGGUAAGACGUUANAAGAACGAUCUUUGCCUUAUAACAUACCCUUCUUUUAAAAAUGUUUAUGAACGUCAAAAAAAACAAAAAAAAUGUAGGCUCGCCUUAAAAACGUGUAGCUGAAAUUAUAAAAUUAUACAACUUUUAACAACGGAUCUCUUGGCUCUCGCAUCGAUGAAGAACGCAGCGAAAUGCGAUAAGUAAUGUGAAUUGCAGAAUUCAGUGAAUCAUCGAAUCUUUGAACGCACCUUGCGCUACCCUGGUAUUCCGGGGAGCAUGCCUGUUUGAGUGUCAUUAAAUUCUCAACUUCGAAUCGUUUGUUUACAGACUUUACGAGGCUUGGACUUUGGAGUGUGCCGGUCUCUAACGAGAUCGACUCCUCUUUAAAUGCAUUAGCUGGAACCUCUUGUGGACCAGACUACGGUGUGAUAAUUAUCUACGCUGUUGGUCUUGUGAAGCACUUUAUUGUUACGAGGUUCUGCUUCUAAUCGUCCUUUACUGCGACAAUGAGGGUUUUA
Molecule: ribosomal RNA, 649 nt
Filed under: Typhula ishikariensis
Lineage: Eukaryota; Fungi; Basidiomycota; Agaricomycetes; Agaricales; Typhulaceae
Description: eukaryotic LSU rRNA
Rfam family: 5.8S ribosomal RNA (bases 271-425)
Source: RNAcentral